AUGAACGCUAGCGACAGGCCUAACACAUGCAAGUCGAGGGCAGCACAAGGAGCAAUCUGAGGUGGCGACCGGCGCACGGGUGAGUAACACGUAUGCAACCUGCCUGUAAGCGGGGAAUAACCCGUUGAAAGACGGACUAAUACCGCAUAAUACUAAAUUACUGCAUGGUAAUUUAUUUUAAACAUUUAUGGCUUACAGAUGGGCAUGCGCAUGAUUAGCUAGUUGGAGAGGUAACGGCUCCCCAAGGCAACGAUCAUUAGGGGUUCUGAGAGGAAGGUCCCCCACACUGGUACUGAGACACGGACCAGACUCCUACGGGAGGCAGCAGUGAGGAAUAUUGGUCAAUGGACGAGAGUCUGAACCAGCCAAGUCGCGUGCAGGAAGAAUGUUCCCUAUGGAUUGUAAACUGUCUUUUGCGAGGGGAAAUAAAGUGCAUCACGUGUGAUUGUUUUGUAUGUACUCUGCGAAUAAGGAUCGGCUAACUCCGUGCCAGCCGCUGC
Molecule: ribosomal RNA, 500 nt
Filed under: uncultured bacterium
Lineage: Bacteria
Description: bacterial SSU rRNA
Rfam family: Bacterial small subunit ribosomal RNA
Source: RNAcentral